Molecule: ribosomal RNA, 546 nt
Filed under: Triticum aestivum (bread wheat)
Lineage: Eukaryota; Viridiplantae; Streptophyta; Magnoliopsida; Poales; Poaceae
Description: partial small subunit ribosomal RNA
Source: RNAcentral
AUGGAGGAGGAGAUCAAUGUCUUCUGCAGCAUGACUGAGGCGGUGAAGGAGGUGGCAACAACCAUCAGGGAGUGCAAGCCCCUCGACGUCCACCCUGACCUGUAUGGCGUUGUCAUGACCCAUGGUGGCUUCAGCGACGAGGCUCUCAUGGCAGCUCUCAGCCACCUGCUUGACAACAAGGCCCAGGGUGUUGGGUUUGUUGCCAUGGCCGACGCUCACUGGGGCAAGUGGUAUGCCGUGUUCAUUGAUGAGGUUCCAGGGGUUUAUAGUUCAUGGGAAGAAGCCAAUGCACAAGUGGCAUCGUAUAGCAACAGCAACUAUAGAGGGUUCAAGACUAAGCAGGCAACAGAACAAGCUUACUCCGCCUGGGUGCGAAAGCACGGAGGCAGUAGUGUCGACAAUGCCAAGGUUGGAGUUGUCAAAGUGGAAGUUGCUAAGGUGGAUCGUCAAUUCGGCCUGAAGCUGAAGAACUUCAUCAUCUUCGCCCAGUUCGUCACCAUUGCUGUGUUGUGGCGUUGGUGUGCUAGGUGUGAUCAUUGUGGGUAA